AACUUACAGCAAUGUAUCUCUUGGCUCUCGCCUCGAUGAAGAACCCAGCGACAUGCGAUAAGUAAUGUGAAUUGCAGAAUUCAGCGAAUCAUCGAAUCUUUGAACGCAUCUUUCGCUCCUUGAUAUUCUGAGGAGCAUGCCUGACUGAGUGUCAUUAAAUUCUCAACUACACUGACUUGGUGUGGCUUGGAUUUGGGGGUUGUGGGCUUUUUGUAGUCUGCUCCCCUGAAAUUAAUUAGCGGUACCUUGGUGGAACUGUCUACAGGUGUGAUAAUUAUCUACAUCCUAGACAUCUGCUGGAAUGCUGCUUUCUAGACCUUACUUGUAUUGACAAUCUUGACCUCAAAUCAGGUAGGACUACCCGCUGAACUUAAGCAUAUCAAUAAGCGGAGGCU
RNAcentral lists this unclassified non-coding RNA (395 nucleotides) under uncultured Inocybe. RNAcentral describes it as "sequence contains ITS2". The stretch from base 1 to 154 matches the Rfam family "5.8S ribosomal RNA". Lineage: Eukaryota; Fungi; Basidiomycota; Agaricomycetes; Agaricales; Cortinariaceae. The record is from RNAcentral.